UACAGAGGGGGCAAGCGUUAUUCGGAAUUAUUGGGCGUAAAGGGCGCGUAGGCGGCUUGGCAAGUGGAUGGUGAAAUCCCUCGGCUUAACCGAGGAACUGCCGUCCAAACUGCUUCGCUUGAGACCGGGAGAGGUGAGUGGAAUUCCCAGUGUAGCGGUGAAAUGCGUAGAUAUUGGGAGGAACACCAGUGGCGAAGGCGGCUCACUGGACCGGUACUGACACUCAACUACGAAAGCGUGGGGAGCAAACAGG
This 253-nucleotide ribosomal RNA is filed under the name uncultured bacterium. Its description in RNAcentral is "partial 16S ribosomal RNA". It matches the Rfam family "Bacterial small subunit ribosomal RNA", at positions 524 to 776 of the family's 1533-position model. The record is from RNAcentral.